GGGCCCGCACAAGCGGUGGAGUAUGUGGUUUAAUUCGAUGCAACGCGAAGAACCUUACCAGGGUUUGACAUCCUGCGAAUCUCUUGGAAACGAGAGAGUGCCUUCGGGAACGCAGUGACAGGUGGUGCAUGGCUGUCGUCAGCUCGUGUCGUGAGAUGUUGGGUUAAGUCCCGCAACGAGCGCAACCCACGUCUUUAGUUGCCAGCAUUUAGUUGGGCACUCUAGAGAGACUGCCGGUGAUAAACCGGAGGAAGGUGUGGAUGACGUCAAGUCAUCAUGCCCCUUACGAGUAGGGCUACACACGUGCUACAAUGGGAAUACAGACGGACGCUAAGCCGCGAGGUGGUGCUAAUCCUAGAAAGUUCUUCGUAGUCCGGAUUGGAGUCUGCAACUCGACUCCAUGAAGUUGGAAUCGCUAGUAAUCGUGGAUC
RNAcentral lists this ribosomal RNA (431 nucleotides) under uncultured bacterium. Its description in RNAcentral is "bacterial SSU rRNA". It matches the Rfam family "Bacterial small subunit ribosomal RNA", at positions 917 to 1350 of the family's 1533-position model. The record is from RNAcentral.